This 347-nucleotide ribosomal RNA is filed under the name Heliobacterium chlorum. RNAcentral's name for it is "bacterial SSU rRNA". It matches the Rfam family "Bacterial small subunit ribosomal RNA", at positions 109 to 450 of the family's 1533-position model. The record is from RNAcentral. Lineage: Bacteria; Bacillati; Bacillota; Clostridia; Eubacteriales; Heliobacteriaceae.
AGUAACACGUGGAUAACCUACCUAUAAGACUGGGAUAACUUCGGGAAACCGGAGCUAAUACCGGAUAAUAUAUUGAACCGCAUGGUUCAAUAGUGAAAGACGGUUUUGCUGUCACUUAUAGAUGGAUCCGCGCCGCAUUAGCUAGUUGGUAAGGUAACGGCUUACCAAGGCAACGAUGCGUAGCCGACCUGAGAGGGUGAUCGGCCACACUGGAACUGAGACACGGUCCAGACUCCUACGGGAGGCAGCAGUAGGGAAUCUUCCGCAAUGGGCGAAAGCCUGACGGAGCAACGCCGCGUGAGUGAUGAAGGUCUUCGGAUCGUAAAACUCUGUUAUUAGGGAAGAAC